AUUGAACGCUGGCGGCAGGCUUAACACAUGCAAGUCGAGCGGGGUGAUGGUGCUUGCACUAUCACUUAGCGGCGGACGGGUGAGUAAUGCUUAGGAAUCUGCCUAUUAGUGGGGGACAACAUCUCGAAAGGGAUGCUAAUACCGCAUACGUCCUACGGGAGAAAGCAGGGGAUCUUCGGACCUUGCGCUAAUAGAUGAGCCUAAGUCGGAUUAGCUAGUUGGUGGGGUAAAGGCCUACCAAGGCGACGAUCUGUAGCGGGUCUGGGAGGAUGGUCCGCCACACUGGGACUGAGACACUGCCCAGACUCCUACGGGAGGCAGCAGUGGGGAAUAUUGGACAAUGGGGGGAACCCUGAUCCAGCCAUGCCGCGUGUGUGAAGAAGGCCUUAUGGUUGUAAAGCACUUUAAGCGAGGAGGAGGCUACUUUAGUUAAUACCUAGAGAUAGUGGACGUUACUCGCAGAAUAAGCACCGGCUAACUCUGUGCCAGCAGCCGCAGUAA
Molecule: ribosomal RNA, 501 nt
Filed under: uncultured bacterium
Lineage: Bacteria
Description: partial 16S ribosomal RNA
Rfam family: Bacterial small subunit ribosomal RNA
Source: RNAcentral